Molecule: ribosomal RNA, 868 nt
Filed under: Paraphytoptus sp. FJ31
Lineage: Eukaryota; Metazoa; Arthropoda; Arachnida; Trombidiformes; Eriophyidae
Also listed under: 1 other name
Description: partial large subunit ribosomal RNA
Rfam family: Eukaryotic large subunit ribosomal RNA
Source: RNAcentral
AAAUAGAACUUUGCAGAGAGAGUUAAGAGGGCGUGAAACCGUUAAUUGGCAAACGAAUCGGAGCCACGAAGUCGUUUCGCUGAUAAGCCAAGCCGAGUUCAGUUGGCCACGAGAGUGGCCGGCGUAUUCUCGUAGUUUGGCCUAGAAUUGUAAACGUACACUGCAACCAGUUAGACGAUUGAAAAUGGGCCCAGCUUGCGUUAGUAGUAGCGCGGGCAGUCCUUGUGGUUGUUUGCGCUGCUGGGCGCAGGCAAGUGAGCUAUUUUCAAAUACUGACUGGCAAAAUGAAAACCGCCGCCUCGCGGCGUAAAACAAAACGCACCGCCUGCACUCUGGCCUACAUGUUUAGCCAUGAGGUUUUAAGCUCAACAUUUUUGAAUUCCGACUUGCAAGCUACCAAUGGGGCAACCCUUGGUGCUUGUACAGAUCAGUCUAAUCGGGUGUUGACUUGACCUGGUGUUGUUUAAGCAUGCAACGAUUGGGCUAGAGUUUGCAGGGCGGCUCGCAAGCAUUGGCAGUGAGUAGGUCGGCUUUCCGAACGACCCGUCUUGAAACACGGACCAAGGAGUCUAAUUAGGCAUCAAGUCGAUCGGUCUUGACUAGGCCAGACUGGGAGCUUCCUUCCGAGAAGGCGUAGAGACAACAUGUGAUCGUUGAGUAAAACAACUCUUGCGCGCAACAUGUGCCUGUUCGUAUAACAAUGUAGCAAUAAUUGUUGGGCGGAGCAAAGAGAUGCCUGAUUGGUACCCGAAAGAUGGUGAUGCUUGGGCAAAUUGAAGCCAGAGGAAACUCUGGUGGAGGAUUUAGAUUCUGACGUGCAAAUCGAUCGUCAGACCUGAGUUAGGGGCGAAAGACUAAUCGAACCAUC